AAGAAAGUAGCUUAAAUUUAAAGCUAGGCAUUGAAGAUGCCUCUAUAGGAGUAUCCUCUUUCUUA
Molecule: transfer RNA, 65 nt
Filed under: Elysia ornata (ornate elysia)
Lineage: Eukaryota; Metazoa; Mollusca; Gastropoda; Plakobranchidae
Description: tRNA-Phe
Source: RNAcentral